AUGAACGCUGGCGGCGUGCCUAAUACAUGCAAGUCGAGCGAACAGAUGAGGAGCUUGCUCCUCUGACGUUAGCGGCGGACGGGUGAGUAACACGUGGAUAACCUACCUAUAAGAUUGGGAUAACUUCGGGAAACCGGAGCUAAUACCGGAUAAUAUAUUGAACCGCAUGGUUCAAUAGUGAAAGACGGUUUUGCUGUCACUUAUAGAUGGAUCCGCGCCGCAUUAGCUAGUUGGUAAGGUAACGGCUUACCAAGGCAACGAUGCGUAGCCGACCUGAGAGGGUGAUCGGCCACACUGGAACUGAGACACGGUCCAGACUCCUACGGGAGGCAGCAGUAGGGAAUCUUCCGCAAUGGGCGAAAGCCUGACGGAGCAACGCCGCGUGAGUGAUGAAGGUCUUCGGAUCGUAAAACUCUGUUAUUAGGGAAGAACAAAUGUGUAAGUAACUAUGCACGUCUUGACGGUACCUAAUCAGAAAGCCACGGCUAACUACGUG
Molecule: ribosomal RNA, 496 nt
Filed under: uncultured bacterium
Lineage: Bacteria
Description: partial 16S ribosomal RNA
Rfam family: Bacterial small subunit ribosomal RNA
Source: RNAcentral